This 468-nucleotide ribosomal RNA is filed under the name uncultured bacterium. Its description in RNAcentral is "partial 16S ribosomal RNA". It matches the Rfam family "Bacterial small subunit ribosomal RNA", at positions 28 to 507 of the family's 1533-position model. The record is from RNAcentral.
GACGAACGCUGGCGGCGUGCUUAACACAUGCAAGUCGAACGGAAAGGCCCUGCUUUUGUGGGGUUCUCGAGUGGCGAACGGGUGAGUAACACGUGAGUAACCUGCCCUUGUCUUUGGGAUAACUUCAGGAAACUGGGGCUAAUACCGGAGAGGAGCUACCGCUGCAUGGGGGGGGUUGGAGAGUUUCGGCGGUUGGGGAUGGACUCGCGGCUUAUCAGCUUGUUGGUGGGGUAGUGGCUGACAAAGGCUUUGACGGGUAGCCGGCCUGAGAGGGUGAACGGCCACAUUGGGACUGAGAUACGGCGCAGACUCCUACGGGAGGCAGCAGUGGGGAGUAUUGCACAAUGGGCGGACGCCUGAUGCAGCAACGCCGCGUGCGGGAUGACGGCCUUUGGGUUGUAAACCGAUUUCGCAUGUGACGAAGCGUGAGUGACGGUAAUGGGUAAAGAAGCACCGGCUAACUACGUG